GACGAACGCUGGCGGCGUGCUUAACACAUGCAAGUCGAGCGGUAAGGCCCCUUCGGGGGUACACGAGCGGCGAACGGGUGAGUAACACGUGGGUGACCUGCCCUCAGCUCUGGGAUAAGCCUGGGAAACUGGGUCUAAUACCGGAUAUGACUCCAUGACGCAUGUCGUGGGGUGGAAAGCCUUGUGCGGCUGGGGAUGGGCCCGCGGCCUAUCAGCUUGUUGGUGGGGUGAUGGCCUACCAAGGCGACGACGGGUAGCCGGCCUGAGAGGGCGACCGGCCACACUGGGACUGAGACACGGCCCAGACUCCUACGGGAGGCAGCAGUGGGGAAUCUUGCGCAAUGGGCGAAGGCCUGACGCAGCGACGCCGCGUGAGGGAUGACGGCCU
This 388-nucleotide ribosomal RNA is filed under the name uncultured bacterium. RNAcentral describes it as "bacterial SSU rRNA". It matches the Rfam family "Bacterial small subunit ribosomal RNA", at positions 28 to 417 of the family's 1533-position model. The record is from RNAcentral.